RNAcentral lists this transfer RNA (71 nucleotides) under Marmota monax (woodchuck). RNAcentral describes it as "tRNA.Ala". It matches the Rfam family "tRNA". Rfam says of the family: Transfer RNA (tRNA) molecules are approximately 80 nucleotides in length. Lineage: Eukaryota; Metazoa; Chordata; Mammalia; Rodentia; Sciuridae. The record is from RNAcentral.
GGGGUUGUGGCUCAGUGGUAGAGCACAUGCCUUGCAUGUGUGAGGCACUGGGUUCGAUCCUCAGUACCACA